Molecule: ribosomal RNA, 1204 nt
Filed under: seawater metagenome
Description: bacterial SSU rRNA
Rfam family: Bacterial small subunit ribosomal RNA
Source: RNAcentral
UCUUCGGACCUUGCGUUAUUAGAGCGGCCGAUAUCUGAUUAGCUUGUUGGUAGGGUAAAAGCCUACCAAGGUGACGAUCAGUAGCUGGUCUGAGAGGACGAUCAGCCACACUGGAACUGAGACACGGUCCAGACUCCUACGGGAGGCAGCAGUGGGGAAUUUUGGACAAUGGGGGCAACCCUGAUCCAGCCAUGCCGCGUGUGUGAAGAAGGCCUUCGGGUUGUAAAGCUCUUUCGCAAGAGAAGAAAGCUUGCUAUCUAAUAAAUAGUAAGUAUGACGGUAUCUUGACAAGAAGCACCGGCUAACUACGUGCCAGCAGCCGCGGUAAUACGUAGGGUGCAAGCGUUAAUCGGAAUUACUGGGCGUAAAGCGUGCGCAGGCAGUUUUAUAAGUCAGAUGUGAAAUCCCCGAGCUCAACUUGGGAACUGCGUUUGAAACUGUAAGACUAGAGUGUGUCAGAGGGGGGUAGAAUUCCACGUGUAGCAGUGAAAUGCGUAGAUAUGUGGAGGAACACCGAUGGCGAAAGCAAUUGGCUGGGCCAUUUCUGACGCUGAGGCGCGAAAGCUAGGGGAGCGAACGGGAUUAGAUACCCCGGUAGUCCUAGCCGUAAACGAUGGGUACUGGGCAAUGGACCUACCUAUGUGGUUCAUUGCUGUAGCUAAUGUGUUAAGUACCCCGCCUGGGGAGUACGCUCGCAAGGGUAAAACUCAAAUGAAUUGACGGGGGAUCACACAAGCGGUGGAGCAUGUGGUUUAAUUCGAAGCAACGCGAAGAACCUUACCUAGCCUUGACAUCUAUGGAUUAGUUCUGUGAAAGCAGAAUGACGGCCCUUCGGGGUUGGAACAUAGACAGGUGUUGCAUGGCUGUCGUCAGCUCGUGUCGUGAGAUGUCGGGUUAAGUCCCAUAACGAGCGAAACCCUUGUCGUUAGUUGCCAGCGGGUAAUGCCGGGGACUCUAGCGAGACUGCCGUUGUUAAAACGGAGGAAGGUGGGGACGACGUCAAGUCAUCAUGGCCCUUACGCCUAGGGCUACACACGUGCUACAAUGGUCCAUACAAAGGGUUGCUAAGUCGCAAGACCAUGCUAAUCCCAUAAAGUGGGCCUCAGUUCGGAUUGGAGUCUGCAAUUCGACUCCAUGAAGCUGGAAUCGCUAGUAAUCGCGUAUCAGCAAUGACGCGGUGAAUAUGUUCCUGAUCCUUGUACAC